UACGGGGGGGGCAAGCGUUGUUCGGAAUUACUGGGCGUAAAGGGCUCGUAGGUGGCCAACUAAGUCAGACGUGAAAUCCCCAGGCUCAACUUGGGAACUGCGUCUGAUACUGGAUGGCUUGAAUUCGGGAGAGGGAUGCAGAAUUCCAGGUGUAGCGGUGAAAUGCGUAGAUAUCAGGAGGAACACCGGUGGCGAAGGCGGGUCUCUGGGCCGUAACUGACGCUGAGGAGCGAAAGCAUGGGGAGCGAACAGG
Molecule: ribosomal RNA, 253 nt
Filed under: uncultured bacterium
Lineage: Bacteria
Description: partial 16S ribosomal RNA
Rfam family: Bacterial small subunit ribosomal RNA
Source: RNAcentral